Long non-coding RNA from Myzus persicae (green peach aphid), 642 nucleotides. RefSeq lists it as uncharacterized. The record is from RefSeq and is a predicted model, not a curated record. Lineage: Eukaryota; Metazoa; Arthropoda; Insecta; Hemiptera; Aphididae. The transcript has 2 exons.
UUCAUGUAUUUAUAUAUUUAUUAAAAAACAUUAAAUUAUAAAAGUUAUUAUACAAAACAUUAAUUAUUAAUAUUAUUUACUGAGCGUAGGUACCUAAACAGUUAUACUUAAUGUUAAGCCUAGUUCACACGUCAUAGACACUACAUACAAAGACUAAUGGUGACAAACGUGAUUAUAUAAAUUAAUAGUUCACGUGAUUAUAAAAAUUCACGGAUUCACGUGAUUAUCCAAUUCACGGAGUCGCGUGAAUAUAAUAAUUCACGGAUUCACGUAAACAAAAUUAUAAAUACACGUGAAAUUUUAAGCAACGGGUUGUAUAAAUUGAACCUAAAUUUCACGUGAACCCGUGAAAAUGUGUACACGUGAAAUAAGGAGCUCUAAUAUGUACCAACAAGGCAACAAGAACUGAACAAUCAGAAGGGCUUAUAUAAAUGACAAGUUCUCGCAUGUUUUAAAUUAUUAUUUGUUGGUGAAAAUUCAUGAGCAGUAAUACUGUGCAGAAAAUCAUAAUUGUUUUCUGAAAAAUAUGGCUUCAACGCUGUUUAAGUUUUUUGUACUGUUUAUCUGCAUAACAUUGAUCCAUAAUUCGUCACAAGGAGGAAGUGACGACGAAGUAGAAUCAAAUAAAGGCAAAUAAUUCAA